GAACAGAAGAUUUGUGGCCUGAGGGUCUCGGAAUAGCUCACGGCAUUUAUAUACAUGAAAGACAAGCAGCUGCAUUAGUCAUGUAAGUGAAUGAAAGGAAUCGGGGACGGAUGGCUCGGAGGAGGAUUAAGUAUGAUCGAAACACUGACCAGUCGUUCAUCUUUCAUGCGGUUGUGAACAACAACAAGAACAACAACAAGACACCCCUCCAGAGACCAGAGACUGAGACACUGCACCAACUGGAGAUACUUUAGAGGGAGAAGAGAGAAAUAAGAAACUGCAGGUAUUUUAGGAUUUCAGCAGUGGCCUUGAGCCAAGUGUCUGGACACGCGGAGUGUGUGAGAAGCUCAUGACCCUCCACCUCCCCAAAGACUUCCUCAUCCCAGCUAACAAAACAAGCAUCAAUAAUGUAUUCUAGUGCUUCUGCUGUGACCGAAAUCCUGAGUGACCAGUGGGUUUCUCCUCUCACACACACACACACACACACAUUGUAAAAGCUAUGUAUUAAAUGCAUGCUGAUGCUGCGGUCUUUUGAACUAAAUAAUGAAAUAAAUAAAGUGCUUGCAUUUUGCUGUGAUAUAAAUAACAUAAGCAGAUCCUCUUUCACCUAAUUUCCCUUAAAUCUCUCUCUGCCUCGGGGAAAUGAAGAACUCUUCAUUUUAAAGGAAUAAACCCUCAUGGUGUCACACUGUUAUAUAAAAAUAAUGAACGGCGGGGUUCCAGGAGUGACGUGUCCAUCAGGCUGAUGUGCGUCUCCAGCUGAUGUUACUGCAGUGACGCCACAGUGUGAGGAGAGAAAAAUGGCGCUGACUGAAGGUUAAACAAUUUCUCUAUCUAUCUAUCUAUCUAUCUAUCUAUCUAUCUAUCUAUCUAUCUAUCUAUCUAUCUAUCUAUCUAUCUAUCUGUCUGUCAGUCUCUUUCUUUCUUUCUUUCUUUCUUUCUUUCUUUCUUUCUUUCUUUCUUUCUUUCUUUCUUUCUUUCUUUCUUUCUAUCUAUCUAUCUAUCUAUCUAUCUAUCUAUCCAUCCAUUCGAGGCAGAAAGUCAGUGUGCAUGAAUCUAAUCCACUCCACAGGAAACGCUUUUCUGUAAAGUGUCAAAAGGAAACACAGCCACAACCCCCUCCAACACACACACACACACAUACUCUCUCUCUCUCUCUCUCUCUCUCUCUCUCUCUCUCUCUCUCUGUCUGUAUGCAAUAACGGCAUAAACAGCAUCAUUAUGUUGUUGUUUUUUUUCCCUAAUCUUGUUGUGUACACAGUAUUUACAGCCAUUAAGGAGAAUAAUAACAAUAACUGAAUCCUCAGAAGGACGACUGCUUUAUUACACUGCAAAUAAAAUACAGGUAAAAGAGCGUGUCAUUAUGGGCUACACGUGCUUUACACGCACAAUAAAACACUCAACUUCACACAAAAUAACAAGAUUUCAGAAACUCGGAGCAGAUGAAGGCUUUCCAGAAAGCUGCUCCUGCUUCCUCACUCCCAUCUGACAGACAGGGGGGAAAAGUCACAUACCAUCAAUCUUCUCCUUACAGAAAACUCACGUGGGGGGAUCACACGUGGGUGCUUUCAACGUGACUGAUCAUGUACACUUUUCACUUUCGGCGCAUGUUUUCAUUUUCAUCUGAUUCAAUUUUUCACAUUUGAUUCAUUUAUUCACGUGUCAUUUUUUCAAUUAAUUCAUUUUCUGUAAG
Long non-coding RNA from Hemibagrus wyckioides, 1693 nucleotides. RefSeq lists it as uncharacterized. The record is from RefSeq and is a predicted model, not a curated record. The transcript is spliced from 3 exons. Lineage: Eukaryota; Metazoa; Chordata; Actinopteri; Siluriformes; Bagridae.